UAGGGAAUCUUCCGCAAUGGGCGAAAGCCUGACGGAGCAACGCCGCGUGAGUGAUGAAGGUCUUCGGAUCGUAAAACUCUGUUAUUAGGGAAGAACAAAUGUGUAAGUAACUAUGCACGUCUUGACGGUACCUAAUCAGAAAGCCACGGCUAACUACGUGCCAGCAGCCGCGGUAAUACGUAGGUGGCGAGCGUUAUCCGGAAUUAUUGGGCGUAAAGCGCGCGUAGGCGGUUUUUUAAGUCUGAUGUGAAAGCCCACGGCUCAACCGUGGAGGGUCAUUGGAAACUGAAAAACUUGAGUGCAGAAGAGGAAAGUGGAAUUCCAUGUGUAGCGGUGAAAUGCGCAGAGAUAUGGAGGAACACCAGUGGCGAAGGCGACUUUCUGGUCUGUAACUGACGCGGAUGUGCGAAAGCGUGGGGAUCAAACAGG
This 429-nucleotide ribosomal RNA is filed under the name Bacteroidota bacterium. RNAcentral's name for it is "Bacteroidetes bacterium partial 16S ribosomal RNA". It matches the Rfam family "Bacterial small subunit ribosomal RNA", at positions 355 to 776 of the family's 1533-position model. The record is from RNAcentral. Lineage: Bacteria; Pseudomonadati; Bacteroidota.